AUGGCUACCUGCUCCGCUCUCCCCUUUCCAGCAGCCAACAAGCCCUGCCAACGGCAGCCGCAACGUCAGCGCCCACAAGUGAAGAGGAGGCAACGCGUCCUCUCAUUACCAAGGCUCGCGGAUGAGCCACUCCCACCUGUGGCACCUGCGGCUGCAGCAAGACUGCCGAAUUCCUCGGGGCUGGAAGAAGCCAACACUUAUGCCAGGGACUACAACCAAUCUCUGCAUCAGCUCCAGCAGAGACCAGUAGGGGAAGGUGCCAGUGGCCAGGAAGCCCCGGGAGCCGCCUGGAACCACAAACGAUGGCAUCCGCAUCACGGCCUUCCGCCAUGCAUGGCGCAAGGAGAGGAGCCAUUGCUGGAAGAAGAGGAGGACACUGAGGUGGAGGAGGAGGAGGAGGAGGAGGAAGAGGAAGAAGAGGAGGAGGAGGAAGAGGAGGAGGAGGAAGAGGAGGAGGAGGAGGAAGAGGAGGAGGACGAGGUGGAGGAGGAGGAAGAGGACGAGGUGAUGGCGGUGGAAGAAGGGACUAGUAGGACGGCCACCUUUGAACUCAUGCCAGAAAUCUAUGUGGGACAAGAAGAAGAACCUGCACACAGAACUGGGACAACAGGCAGUAAGUGUGAACGGUCCAGAAACAGGAUCUGCUGGCCUUUGGAAACUGAGUCUUGUCCACUUCAUGAACUUCCUGAACUUCAUGGUAAAUCUUUGUCUAAAACAGGAGACAGGGGAGAAUCCCCACACCCAUCCACUUCUACAGCCACAAGAGGUGCCGUCCCAGGUGGGUCUGGGACGUGGAGCCUAAGAUCCCGUGAAGUCAACGCUACGUCUCUUCUGGGGAAACAGCCCUUGAAAGGAAACAGUCGCCAAGGGAAAGCAACCACCACCUUUGCAAGAACAGGACAAAAUGGGCCCGGGGCCGUGCAAACAGCAUCCAUUGAAGCAGGAAGGCGAGCCGCUUCAUUGGAGGAUGUGAUGGGCCAGCUGGAGGUUCUAACCGAAGUUAUCCAGUCUGCUGGUGAGUAA
This 1023-nucleotide long non-coding RNA is filed under the name Pogona vitticeps (central bearded dragon). RNAcentral describes it as "lncRNA (ENSPVIG00000006310.1)". Lineage: Eukaryota; Metazoa; Chordata; Lepidosauria; Squamata; Agamidae. The record is from RNAcentral.